This is a long non-coding RNA of Cygnus olor (mute swan), 539 nucleotides long. RefSeq lists it as uncharacterized. The record is from RefSeq and is a predicted model, not a curated record. NCBI's taxonomy places the organism in Eukaryota, Metazoa, Chordata, Aves, Anseriformes, Anatidae. The transcript is spliced from 3 exons.
AGAGGAAAUGGAGGUUGGCUUUCUUGCCAUCUGAAUAGGGCUGCAGUCCCAGGGAUCUGAGAUGCUGGAAAGCCCUGAAUUGGAUUUUAGGCUCAGUGCAGCAACACAGGCUCCAGCCAAAUUGCAUCGUCCACCCUUUGAUCCUCCUACUGCUAUGAGCACUUCCAGUGGAUAUUCAUCACAGCAGGGUAUGACCCUACACAACCCAGGAAUAGACAGAGUAGCUCAUUUUGCCGAGGGUCGGGGAGGAAGUCUGCAAUGGAGCCAAGAAUAGAGCCCUGCUCCGGCAGCUCCUGGUCGCGUGCCUUCUCCCCUCUCCUAUUCUUCCUCCCGGCAAGUGGCAAGACAAAUAGCCGGACACAUCAAAUCCACUGAGAUCAGGAGCUGAGUCAAAGGAGGAUGCCCAGGGAGAUACCUUGUCAACUGGUCCAGCGCUGAGCAGAGCCAGGCUGGAUUCACACUAGGUAGCUCCUGCACCCGCCAAGCUGGUGCCACCCUUCAACUUGCCAGCUAAUAAAGGUAUUUUGUGUGGUUCCUGA